Molecule: long non-coding RNA, 701 nt
Organism: Hyla sarda
Lineage: Eukaryota; Metazoa; Chordata; Amphibia; Anura; Hylidae
Exons: 3
Source: RefSeq, a predicted model, not a curated record
CUCUCAUGGACAUAAGUAUUCAUACCCUUUACUAUGACACUUGAAAUUUAGCUUUGGCUCCUCCCAUUUCUCUUCGUCAUCUCUGAGAUGUUCCUACACCUUGAUUGGAGUCACCUGUGGUAAAUUCAGGUGAUUGGACGGGAUUUGGAAAGACACCGCUCUGCCUGGAGUUUGCACAAAAGAAAAAAUACUCUCAGACUUUGCACCUAAAAAACUCUCAGACGAAACAGAUUAAACUGAAAUUGAAGUGUCACGUCUGGAGAUAACCAGCUGUUGUGGUGGACUGCAGUACCGCAUGGCACCACCAUAUAGGAUUCAGGUGGUUGGCAAUAGAGAUGGAAGCCUGGUGAAAUCCAAGCCAAAGGAGAGGACACAGCUUACUAAUAUUCCGGAUGCAUGGACCUAUAUAUUCUACAUCUCUACGCUAUGGAUUAUUGCCACAUUUCUUUGCCAAGUUUUUCUUCAGUUCCAACGCUGACUACAUCCUCCCACUCCUAGAUCUUCUCCUGACGAAGAAUUCUAUCUGCAUGUUGUUCCAGUUCUGUUCAUGGAUUUGACUCUGUUAUCUACUAUUGAUUUAUUUGACUAUUAUUAAAGAAAGAGGACUAUCUCUAGCAUACAGGACCUUAUAUCACCUGGGCUGGAUGCUCAUUGGCCAGUACCUUGACCAGCAUGUUCGGCUGUGCAUACCUGUACUGAUA